Molecule: ribosomal RNA, 164 nt
Filed under: Cymbidium gyokuchin
Lineage: Eukaryota; Viridiplantae; Streptophyta; Magnoliopsida; Asparagales; Orchidaceae
Description: 5.8S ribosomal RNA
Rfam family: 5.8S ribosomal RNA
About the family: 5.8S ribosomal RNA (5.8S rRNA) is a component of the large subunit of the eukaryotic ribosome. It is transcribed by RNA polymerase I as part of the 45S precursor that also contains 18S and 28S rRNA. Functionally, it is thought that 5.8S rRNA may be involved in ribosome translocation.
Source: RNAcentral
GGACACGAGUCUCGGCAAUGGAUAUCUCGGCUCUCGCAUCGAUGAAGAGCGCAGCAAAAUGCGAUACGUGGUGUGAAUUGUAGAAUCUCGCGAACCAUCGAGUCUUUGAACACAAGUUGCGCCCAAGGCUAGCAGGCCGAGGGCAUGUCUGCCUGGGCGUCAAG